This is a long non-coding RNA of Biomphalaria glabrata, 1875 nucleotides long. RefSeq lists it as uncharacterized. The record is from RefSeq and is a predicted model, not a curated record. The transcript has 3 exons. Lineage: Eukaryota; Metazoa; Mollusca; Gastropoda; Planorbidae.
AUCUUAUUAAACUGAAUUCAAUUUAAUAGAGGGAUUUUGUAACCAGACAGUCUAUAGAUAAACAAAUGUAACACAUAUAGAGCACAAACAUAUUAGUCACAACAAGGUCAACACAUCCUUAAGUUAACACAAAAAAAUACAUAUAGAGUCAAUAUGAUGAUUUAAAAAAAAAAUAAAAAAAAAUUUAAAUCAUUAAAUAUGUUACCAUUAAAUUAUAACAAUAGUUUGCAAGAUCACCAAAAACAUCUAGGAGGCAUUAGGACAUAUGGACUACAUCAAUUAAAUAGUGUAUCUGUUGGUAUAGGUAUUUAUGUUAUUGAAAGUUAUAUUUCGAAUUCAUUACAAGAAGCUAGAAUGAAAAUAAACUGUAGACCAUAAAUAAUUAUAUACCAUAUAAAGUAACCAGAGGGUACAGAUAGAUAGCACAAGAAUGUUGGCUGAGAUAAAUAAUGAACCCAAACUUUAUUAGCGGUAAAUGAAAAUAAAAAAAGGACUAGUUAAAACAAUUGUGAUAAUGUGUGUUGAUUGUAAUAGUAAUUGAACAUAUUUAGUUUUAAACUAGAUUAGUUUGAUAGACUUGUCAUUAUCUUGUUAUGAUUCCAAAAAGAAACAAAACAAUGAAACCUUUAAGCUUGUGAUUACACAUAUGACUGGACACCAGGAUUCAAAAACUGAAACUGCACACUCAUUCCAAGUUCCAGCAACUUGUAGGGACAAGAGUGGAUCUAAAAACAUUUGAUCUGUAGGAUUUAAAUUUUAAAAAAAAGUUUGAUCUGUAGGAUUGUGGGAAAAAAAGCUCAACUAAAUGAAAAAGAUAAGAAGAAACUUUGAAACAGAUUGAACUCUUUUGUCUGGAUUGAAACUAGAAUAAAAAUGAGCUUUUUGAAUACAAACAUUUUUACUGUGAAAUAAUUGUGUCUGUGUCAACGUGUAAUGUAUUUUUAUUUUUAAUUAUGAGGAAAAAAAGGAAAUAAUUUCAAGAUUACAACUGAAUACGUGAAACAGUGAACAACUCAAAGGAUCAACACAAAUUUGUUUUUCUUCAUUGUAACCUGGAUGAUCCUGGUCUGGGAAAGUAUUACAGCUGUUCCAGUUUCUAUCUCUUCUAUAGCAAUGUACUUCUGGGAAAUACAACUCAGCUAUUAGAACUUGGCACAUUUUGUUUCAGUACUUUAUUUGCUUGAUCAUAUUUGCUAUUUGAAUAUUUCUAACAUGUUAUUAUUUUACCUUUAUUUUUAUUUAUUUUGAUGAAUUCCACAUGUCUUAUAAAUUAAAGAUGUUUCUUCAAAAAAGAGUAGAUAGUUAUGUCCUAAGUGUAUUCAUGUGUUAUAUCUAGAUAUGUGUGAAUCAGAGACUUAAGCUCUGUUAAGUCAUUGGUUUUCCCGGCUGAUUCAGGCAACACCUUCUUCCAUGCUCUAAUGGCACUAGGGAAGAAGGAGCAUGUGUAAGAAUCCAUACUGCAUGCUACUUCCACUAUUGUCUUGCAUUUCAAUUUUUAGAUCCCAUUUAUUUUGAUAAAUAUCUCAUAUAUAACAAAUGCUAUAAUUUUACAUUUUAUUUGUUAGAUCAUAUCUAGUUUGAUCAAUUCCUAGCAUAUUAUUUCUCUCCAUUUCCUGUUAAUAUCAAUUUAGAUUCUACAAUAAAUUCGUCCACUGUACCAGACUACACAGACAAUGUGAGGUAAAGGAAAUAGAAAUCUGCAGAGGAAAAAAAGAGUUGAAGAUAUAUAGAUAUGAAAAGACUUUUGAUAGGUAUUAAAGAUUGCUAUGUCAAGAUUGGAAUACAGCAAUGUCUGACGGAACUGGAGUCAAUGCAAAUACUUUGACUUCCUAAAGAAGAGUUAGUCAACUCUGUUUCUUUCCUUGUGUAUCAAUU